UUGGGUGACGAGUGGCGGACGGGUGAGUAAUGUCUGGGGAUCUGCCCGAUAGAGGGGGAUAACCACUGGAAACGGUGGCUAAUACCGCAUAACGUCGCAAGACCAAAGAGGGGGACCUUCGGGCCUCUCACUAUCGGAUGAACCCAGAUGGGAUUAGCUAGUAGGCGGGGUAAUGGCCCACCUAGGCGACGAUCCCUAGCUGGUCUGAGAGGAUGACCAGCCACACUGGAACUGAGACACGGUCCAGACUCCUACGGGAGGCAGCAGUGGGGAAUAUUGCACAAUGGGCGCAAGCCUGAUGCAGCCAUGCCGCGUGUAUGAAGAAGGCCUUCGGGUUGUAAAGUACUUUCAGCGGGGAGGAAGGCGAU
RNAcentral lists this ribosomal RNA (368 nucleotides) under Pantoea vagans. RNAcentral describes it as "bacterial SSU rRNA". It matches the Rfam family "Bacterial small subunit ribosomal RNA", at positions 84 to 455 of the family's 1533-position model. The record is from RNAcentral. Lineage: Bacteria; Pseudomonadati; Pseudomonadota; Gammaproteobacteria; Enterobacterales; Erwiniaceae.